RNAcentral lists this long non-coding RNA (738 nucleotides) under Numida meleagris (helmeted guineafowl). RNAcentral's name for it is "lncRNA (ENSNMEG00000005048.1)". The record is from RNAcentral. Lineage: Eukaryota; Metazoa; Chordata; Aves; Galliformes; Numididae.
CAGGAGAUGUCUCCAUCUGCUGCUGCAGGGCCGGGCAUAGGGAGCACUCUGUGAGGACUUCCCAGCACUUCUUCGGCUCCCACACAGCAUCAGACUUGCUGCAGUAAUCUUACCUUUGGCACUGAAGCCAGGUGCCUGAUGUCACUUUAUAUCCUGGAAAGCACAGGAAUCCAGAAUGUCGCACAUUCCCAUUUUUCCCCUGUGCAUUGAGAGCUCUGGAGAAGGCCAGCCACACCACAGUGUCCUGCUGAGCUUCAAUUAAGGGGAAAAGAACACAGAUGUCUGCCCUGCUCACUGAAUUUGCUGGAGCUGGACUUGGGAAUUUAUAUUUUUUUUCUGCUAGAAACGUGAGUGAGGAGCAGGUGGCUUCAAGGAUGCUCUGGAAUAAUAAUGCACAGAGAUAUGACGUGGUUGUAAGGACUGUAUUCUGACCCUCCUUUACACCCGUGUGCAUCAGGAGCAGUGCAGCAAAGAGGCGGCAGCGUCGGGCAGCCCAGGCCUGGUCCCCGGUGUUGGUCUGGCAUGAACCUGGGAGCUGCUUCAGGUUUACACCAAGAGUCCUGUUCUCAGGAAAGAAAGCUCCCAUUUUCCAGGAGCAGGUCUGGAAGUCGUCUCGUUUGUGCCCUGGGUGCGUGCCUGGCACUGGGAGCUCGGCGCUGGAGCAGAGCCCGAUCCAUGAGCAUUCAGCUGCAGAAGAAAGAGGGAAAUCUCCACAGGAGCAUGAGACAGAGCACAUAA